GAAAUGCGAUAAGUAGUGUGAAUUGCAGAAUUCAGUGAAUCAUCGAAUCUUUGAACGCACAUUGCGCCCUUUGGUAUUCCUUAGGGCAUGCCUGUUCGAGCGUCAUUUGUAACCUCAAGCUCAGCUUGGUGUUGGGUGUCUGUCCCCGCCCCGCGCGGGGACUCGCCUCAAAAACAUUGGCGGCCGGUACGUUGGCUUCGAGCGCAGCAGAAACGCGAACUCGAGGCCCGACGGAUCGGCGACCAGAAGUCACUUCUUCCACAGCUUGACCUCGGAUCGGGUAGGGAUACCCGCUGAACUUAAGC
RNAcentral lists this unclassified non-coding RNA (305 nucleotides) under plant metagenome. Its description in RNAcentral is "partial contains 5.8S ribosomal RNA, internal transcribed spacer 2, and large subunit ribosomal RNA". The stretch from base 1 to 105 matches the Rfam family "5.8S ribosomal RNA", at positions 50 to 154 of the family's 154-position model. The record is from RNAcentral.